CCUACGGGGUGCAGCAGUGGGGGAUAUUGCACAAUGGGGGAAACCCUGAUGCAGCGACGCCGCGUGUGGGAAGACGGUCUUCUGGAUUGUAAACCACUGUCCCCAGGGACGAAAAUGACGGUACCUGGGGAGGAAGCUCCGGCUAACUACGUGCCAGCAGCCGCGGUAAUACGUAGGGAGCAAGCGUUGUCCGGAAUUACUGGGUGUAAAGGGAGCGUAGGCGGGGAUGCAAGUUGGGUGUCAAAACUACCGGCUCAACCGAUAGUCGCACUCAAAAAUGCAACUCUUGAGUGAAGUCGAGGCAGGCGGAAUUCCUAGUGUAGCGGUGAAAUGCGUAGAUAUUAGGAGGAACACCAGUGGCGAAGGCGGCCUGCUGGGCUUUUACUGACGCUGAGGCUCGAAAGUGUGGGGAGCAAACAGGAUUAGAUACCCCAGUAGUC
RNAcentral lists this ribosomal RNA (440 nucleotides) under uncultured bacterium. RNAcentral describes it as "partial 16S ribosomal RNA". It matches the Rfam family "Bacterial small subunit ribosomal RNA", at positions 338 to 795 of the family's 1533-position model. The record is from RNAcentral.